RNAcentral lists this ribosomal RNA (439 nucleotides) under uncultured bacterium. RNAcentral's name for it is "bacterial SSU rRNA". It matches the Rfam family "Bacterial small subunit ribosomal RNA", at positions 29 to 507 of the family's 1533-position model. The record is from RNAcentral.
AACGAACGUUGGCGGUCUGGAUUAGGCAUGCAAGUCGCGGGAAUGCCAGCAAUGGCGGAACCGGCGUAAGGGGCAGUAAGGCAUGGGUACCUACCUGGAGGUGGGGUAUAGCCUGUAGAGAUACAGGGUAAUCCCGCAUAAUGUCGCAAGACCAAAGCUCCGGCGCCCUCAGAGGGGCCCAUGUGAUAUUAGCUAGUUGGUGAGGUAACGGCUCACCAAGGCGAAGAUGUCUAGCGGGUGUGAGAGCACGACCCGCGCCACUGGCACUGAGACACUGGCCAGACACCUACGGGUGGCUGCAGUCGAGGAUCUUCGGCAAUGGGCGCAAGCCUGACCGAGCGAGACCGCGUGGGCGAUGAAGGCCUUCGGUGUAAAGCCUGUCGAGGGGAGAAAGGCAAACGUUGAUCUAUCCCUGGAGGAAGCACGGGCUAAGUUCGUG